Oreochromis niloticus (Nile tilapia) is the source of this 771-nucleotide long non-coding RNA. RefSeq lists it as uncharacterized. NCBI's taxonomy places the organism in Eukaryota, Metazoa, Chordata, Actinopteri, Cichliformes, Cichlidae. The record is from RefSeq and is a predicted model, not a curated record. The transcript is spliced from 2 exons.
CGCCACUCGGCAGGAAACGCCGUUCAUAGAUGCAUAAAAACGGCGUUUUUUACGGCGUUCUGUGCCAGCUGUAACGGCGUUUAAAACGGCGUUUUAUUGAAAUUAUGCAGGGCACUCCCCAUGGUUCCCUCAUCCAAUUACUUUCAACUCAUUUCACCCAAUCAAAGAAGAGGAAGUGCAGACCACACUAAUGCAUCACCAAUUCACCUUGCUGCUAAGUGAUUGUCUAUUCAGUACCAGUGCUUGUCACAGUAUUGACUUGUAUUAUAAUCCCACUAUGCAUUUUGAUGUGUUUAAGGCAUGAUCAAGCAAACAAACGACAGAAUACUUUUUCUGAAACCUUAACUGUGGUACCUGUUAUGGCAGCUAACAGACACUCGGCGCAUGGCUCCUUUGUUUACGUUAGGGAUCAGCUGUUAGCGCUGCGCCCUGCAGCUGCGCUACCAGCAGACAGACCCUACGUCCCCAGUGAGGGAAGAGACAGGGGUGAUGUCUCCCGAGAAGGACUCCUUACACACCAUCUCUCCUUCCUGUAAUCACUGUAAACGUGAGAUCACUCCCUGAUAUGAUUGAGGAGCUAAUGACGCUAACCCGGUCACAGUGGCAGUACCCCGACACUGCCCGGUACUCCCUCUGUGAGUAGGCUGCCCGGCUUCCAGCUGCUGCGGCCGGACAAGACGAGAGACAGCGGUGAGAGGAAAGGAGGGGGACUGGGCAGUGUUUGUUAAAGACAGUUGUGGUAUCCCUGGGCACAUUGCUGUGAAAGAACAA